RNAcentral lists this ribosomal RNA (1408 nucleotides) under metagenome. RNAcentral's name for it is "bacterial SSU rRNA". It matches the Rfam family "Bacterial small subunit ribosomal RNA". The record is from RNAcentral.
UAUGAGUUAAAGAGCAUUGUUAGUGGCAGACGGGUGAGUAAUGCAUAGGGACGUACCUUUGAGAUCGGAAUAACUAUUGGAAACGAUAGCUAAUACCGGAUAUAACCUUAAUUUAUUUUAAGGUGAAAGAUUUAUCGCUCAGAGAUCGACCUAUGUCCGAUUAGGUAGUUGGUGAGGUAAAGGCUCUACCAAGCUUAUAAUCGGUAGCUGGUUUGAGAAGAUGAUCAGCCACACUGGAACUGAGAUACGGUCCAGACUCCUACGGGAGGCAGCAGUGGGGAAUAUUGGACAAUGGGGGAAACCCUGAUCCAGCGACGUCGCGUGGGUGAAGAAGGUCUUAGGAUUGUAAAACCCUUUUAUUGGUGAUGAUAAUGACAGUAGCCAAUGAAUAAGCACCGGCUAACUUCGUGCCAGCAGCCGCGGUAAUACGAAGGGUGCUAGCGUUGUUCGGAAUAACUGGGCGUAAAGGGCGUGUAGGCGGUUAUGUAAGUUUGAUGUGAAAUGUACGGGCUCAACCUGUAAACUGCAUUGAAAACUAUAUUGACUAGAGUACUUAAGGGGGGGUUGGAAUUAUGUGUGUAGAGGUGAAAUUCGUAGAUAUACAUAAGAACACUCGAGGCGAAGGCAGAUCCCUGGUAAGAUACUGACGCUAAGGCGCGAAAGUGUGGGUAGCAAACAGGAUUAGAUACCCUGGUAGUCCACACUGUAAACGAUGGAUAUUAGAUGUUUGUACAUUAAAGUAUGAGUGUCGAAGCUAACGCGAUAAAUAUCCCGCCUGGGGAGUACGGUCGCAAGAUUAAAACUCAAAGGAAUUGACGGGGACCCGCACAAGCGGUGGAAUAUGUGGUUUAAUUCGAAGCUACGCGCAGAACCUUACCCGCUCUUGUAUAUGCUUUACAUCUUAUAGAGAUAUAAGAUACCAGUUCGGCUGGGAGUAUACAGGUGCUGCAUGGCUGUCGUCAGCUCGUGUCGUGAGAUGUUGGGUUAAGUCCCGCAACGAGCGCAACCCCUAUUGUUAGUUGCCAUCAGGUUAAGCUGGGCACUUUAGCAUGACUGCCUGUUUUAAGCAGGAGGAAGGUGGGGAUGACGUCAAGUCCUCAUGGCCCUUGUGGGCGGGGCUACACACGUAUUACAAUGGUUGUUACAAAGGGCUAGCGAAAGAGCGAUCUUUAGCAAAUCUCAUAAAAGCAAUCUCAGUUCGGAUUGUUCGCUGCAACUCGCGAGCAUGAAGUUGGAAUCGCUAGUAAUCGUUGAUCAGCAGGCAACGGUGAAUACGUUCUCGGGUCUUGUACACACUGCCCGUCAAACCAUGGGAGUUGAUUUUAUCUUAAGUUGGUGAGCUAACAAGUUUACUUGAGGCAGCUAAUCACGGUAGGAUUGAUGACUGGGAUUAAGUCGUAACAAGGUA